Molecule: ribosomal RNA, 520 nt
Filed under: uncultured Glomus
Lineage: Eukaryota; Fungi; Glomeromycota; Glomeromycetes; Glomerales; Glomeraceae
Description: SSU rRNA
Rfam family: Eukaryotic small subunit ribosomal RNA
Source: RNAcentral
AGCAGCCGCGGUAAUUCCAGCUCCAAUAGCGUAUAUUAAAGUUGUUGCAGUUAAAAAGCUCGUAGUUGAAUUUCGGGAUCAAUAUAUCGGUCGUGCCAUUGGUACGUACUGGUAUCAUUGGUUUCUCCUUUCUGACGAACCAUGAUGUCAUUAAUUUGGUGUUAUGGGAAGUUAGGACUGUUACUUUGAAAAAAAUUAGAGUGUUUAAAGCAGGCUUUAGCUUGAAUACAUUAGCAUGGAAUAAUGAAAUAGGACGUUCGAACCUAUUUUGUUGGUUUCUAGGAUCAACGUAAUGAUUAAUAGGGAUAGUUGGGGGCAUUAGUAUUCAAUUGUCAGAGGUGAAAUUCUUGGAUUUAUUGAAGACUAACUACUGCGAAAGCAUUUGCCAAGGAUGUUUUCAUUAAUCAAGAACGAAAGUUAGGGGAUCGAAGACGAUCAGAUACCGUCGUAGUCUUAACCAUAAACUAUGCCGACUAGGGAUCGGAUGAUGUUAAUUUUUUAAUGACUCAUUCGGCGCCUU